CAGUAGUCAUAUGCUUGUCUCAAAGAUUAAGCCAUGCAUGUCUAAGUAUAAGCAAUUAUACAGCGAAACUGCGAAUGGCUCAUUAUAUGAAGUUAUCGUUUAUUUGAUAGUACCUUACUACUUGGAUAACCGUGGUAAUUCUAGUAGCUAAUACAUGCUAAAAAUCCCGACUUCGGAAGGGAUGUAUUUAUUAGAUUAAAAACCAAUGCCCUUCGGGGCUCACUGGUGAUUCAUGAUAACUCCUCGAAUCGCAUGGCCUUGCGCCGGCGAUGGUUCAUUCAAAUUUCUUCCCUAUCAACUUUCGAUGUUUGGGUAUUGGCCAAACAUGGUUGCAACGGGUAACGGAGGGUUAGGGCUCGACCCCGGAGAAGGAGCCUGAGAAACGGCUACUACAUCCAAGGAAGGCAGCAGGCGCGCAAAUUACCCAAUCCCGACACGGGGAGGUAGUGACAAUAAAUACUGAUACAGGGCUCUUUUGGGUCUUGUAAUUGGAAUGAGUACAAUUUAAAUCCCUUAACGAGGAACAAUUGGAGGGCAAGUCUGGU
RNAcentral lists this ribosomal RNA (545 nucleotides) under fungal sp. fxyn1. Its description in RNAcentral is "SSU rRNA". It matches the Rfam family "Eukaryotic small subunit ribosomal RNA", at positions 18 to 565 of the family's 1831-position model. Lineage: Eukaryota; Fungi. The record is from RNAcentral.